Molecule: ribosomal RNA, 356 nt
Filed under: uncultured Kibdelosporangium sp.
Lineage: Bacteria; Bacillati; Actinomycetota; Actinomycetes; Pseudonocardiales; Pseudonocardiaceae
Description: bacterial SSU rRNA
Rfam family: Bacterial small subunit ribosomal RNA
Source: RNAcentral
GUGCCAGCCGCUGCGGUAAUACGUAGGGUGCGAGCGUUGUCCGGAAUUAUUGGGCGUAAAGAGCUCGUAGGCGGUUUGUCGCGUCGGCCGUGGAAUCUUCCCGCUUAACGGGGAGCUUGCGGUCGAUACGGGCAGACUUGAGUUCGGUAGGGGAGACUGGAAUUCCUGGUGUAGCGGUGAAAUGCGCAGAUAUCAGGAGGAACACCGGUGGCGAAGGCGGGUCUCUGGGCCGAUACUGACGCUGAGGAGCGAAAGCGUGGGAGCGAACAGGAUUAGAUACCCUGGUAGUCCACGCGUAGUAAACGUUGGGCGCGUAGGUGUGGGCUCUUUCGACGGUUCCGUGCCGUAGCUAACGC